Microtus oregoni (creeping vole) is the source of this 1754-nucleotide long non-coding RNA. RefSeq lists it as uncharacterized. The transcript has 3 exons. The record is from RefSeq and is a predicted model, not a curated record. NCBI's taxonomy places the organism in Eukaryota, Metazoa, Chordata, Mammalia, Rodentia, Cricetidae.
UCUAGGUUGUGACAAGUUGACCAGGCUAACAGGAUGGUGGGGAACUGGAAUGAGGACAGAGAAGGGCAGAAGACACGGGGAGACAGACUAGGUGCACACAGGGACACGGAUUGUGCUACCUUGGAAGCCACCCUUGACCUUGGCCAUCUGACUCCAAGAAGACCCUUCAGUCGCCAGCAGGACAAAGUGAGAGGGAAGGACCUGACCCACGCAGACCCAUCAACCCCAUGAGAAAGACGACCCAGAAUGUGACCCGUGAUAAUGCACCAGCAUCUUCAAUUCUGCAGAUUUCUCUUCCAGACAGCUUUCCUGCCUCUGCAUCCGUGAAGCCAUCAUCUCUUUGGAGAUGGAAGUCUCUGCAUCCUUGCAAUAAAGGGAGGCUCAAGCAUCAGUGGGGAAGAUCGUGUCAUCUGGCUUUUCUGAGGGGCUCACUCCCAGAGCAUGCUCUGGUGGGUGGGGACUCCCUUUCUCUCCCCUCUCCAGCUUUGAGGACACCUAUGCUUGGCCCAUGACAGAGCCUGCAAGGGCCCACGUGAGAAAUGGGUCUCUGCAAAACAAGUGUUUGGAUGCCUGAGUCACCUGGGAAUCCAUCUACUGCUUCCAGCAAGCCUUUGUUAUGCACUGAGCAAUGUGUGCCAUCUGCCUGACCAAUGGCUAGCAAGCCACAUAGUCUGUCUUCAAGUCCCUACAGUCUCGUGAGUUGGUCAAAGCCGCGAGACUGAAUCAGUCACAACUCACAACAGUGCUAUCAAAACCUCAAAGCAAUAUGGUUCAGCAGGGCGUGACAGUUCACACCUUCAAUCCUAGCGCUCAGGAGCGGGAGGCAAGAAGAUCACCAUGUGUGAAAAGCCAGCCUGGUGUACGUUCAAGUUUCAGGCUAGCUAGGACUAUAGAGCAAGAUCUUGUCCUUCUGUCUCCACUCUUCCCAACAAUACAGUUCAGAUAAGAUGGGAUUUUAUUGUUUCUUCACACAAAGUGGAGAGUGAGCAGCAGAGACGGGCACGCCUUCCCUGUUCUGGCUCUGACAGCCUGAGCAUAUGAUCUCCAUUCAGUUAGCCCAUGCUCCUUCACUACCAUCCACAACCUAGCAUGGAAAGGAGAAAAGCAGAUAGGACAAAUGUCUGUCUGACUGGAUUCAGAAACACUUGGGUAUGCUUAACUUGCCGUUCCCGAGACACAUGUGUCUCAGGACUGAUACAAAUGCGGCCCAGUUCAUUGGUAGAUGAAGACAGCAUGUCACCAUGGCAAAGGGUUGGGCACCGCUGGGCCCUUGGGCAAUAUUGAGGCCCAUCUUUGAAUGUAUCUGUGAGUGUGCUUCCAGAGAAGAUUAAAUGAGGGGGAAGACCCACCCCGAGUGUGAGCAGCACUGUCCCAUGGGCUGAGGACUCAGACUGAAUAAAGAAGGCCUGUGAUUUCCUCACCAUCACGGACCGUACCCUUGAACCGUGAGCCAAACAAAUCUUCCCUCCUUUAAAUUACAUACUGCUGGGUAUUUCAACCACGACAUAAAAAAAGAAAACUAAUACAGAGGGAAAGAAAAGUGUGGUUUGUAUAACAGUUUCUGACUUGAAACUGUCACUCAUGAGAUCCAGGAAAACCUUGCUAAGAUCACAGAAGCAACGAACCGCUGCCGGGGGAGGGGAUUCUGAUCAUCAAGGCUGCCUGAAGAAGAUUCUCCAAUCUCAGAGCUGCCUGCAAAUCUCUCAGAGAGGCCCAAGGUUUAAGCAUUUGUGAGUCACAAAUCAUGAGUCAAA